Non-coding RNA from Peromyscus maniculatus bairdii (prairie deer mouse), 151 nucleotides. The record is from RefSeq and is a predicted model, not a curated record. Lineage: Eukaryota; Metazoa; Chordata; Mammalia; Rodentia; Cricetidae.
AAUUAUAGCAAAGAUGGCUUUGGAGAUGGAAUCGGUUCACUUCUUCUCUAAACCCAAGCAUAUUCCUAAAAUAAAAGGUUAAGAGAUUCUUGUGUCCCAUAUCAGAAGAGCCCUCUGGUGUGGGACAAAGAAAAACUAAUAUUUUUAUUUA